RNAcentral lists this ribosomal RNA (459 nucleotides) under Triticum aestivum (bread wheat). RNAcentral's name for it is "partial small subunit ribosomal RNA". The record is from RNAcentral. Lineage: Eukaryota; Viridiplantae; Streptophyta; Magnoliopsida; Poales; Poaceae.
AUGUUGCCGGCUGGCGUCAAGUUCGAUCCCAUGGAUCAGGAGCUGAUCAAGCACCUUGAGGCCAAAGUGAGUGCUGACAGCGCGAGAUCUCACCCUCUCAUUGAUUUGUUCAUACCAACCAUCGACAGUGAGCACGGCAUAUGCUACACCCAUCCUGAGAAACUUCCAGUGCAAUUCCAGGGCGUUCAAAAGGGGCACAUGGACGCGUCGCAAGAUACAGUCGGAGUGUGGCAUGCACGCGAUGUAGCACAACACCGGCAAUACCUUGCCGGUGAUGGUCAAUGGCCAGCCGACGGGCAGCAAAAAGGUUCUGGUGCUGCACACCAACAAGAACUUCGACCAGCAGAGGACCAACUGGGUGAUGCACCAGUACCACCUCGGGGACCUGGAGCAAGAGAAGGAGCGGGAGCUGGUCCUCUACAAGAUUUUCUACCAGACGAACACAAGGGCCAGGAGUAA